RNAcentral lists this ribosomal RNA (253 nucleotides) under uncultured bacterium. RNAcentral describes it as "partial 16S ribosomal RNA". It matches the Rfam family "Bacterial small subunit ribosomal RNA", at positions 524 to 776 of the family's 1533-position model. The record is from RNAcentral.
UACGAAGGGGGCUAGCGUUGCUCGGAAUCACUGGGCGUAAAGCGCACGUAGGCGGCUUUCUAAGUCAGGGGUGAAAUCCUGGAGCCCAACUCCAGAACUGCCUUCGAUACUGGCGAUCUCGAGUUCGGGAGAGGUGAGUGGAACUGCGAGUGUAGAGGUGAAAUUCGUAGAUAUUCGCAAGAACACCAGUGGCGAAGGCGGCUCACUGGCCCGAUACUGACGCUGAGGUGCGAAAGCUAGGGGAGCGAACGGG